GAAAGAGUAGCCUGUACUCCUUUCUGUUGCUUCUUGUCAACCACUUCCACUUCCACACAACCCAGUUUGGGUUUAUUUUUCUAUCACUGACCAGAAACGGCUCCCAACAAACGUAACCAGAGAGGUCUCAGUACCAUCAGGUUCCCAGGAUUAUCUGCUGCGUUGCUCAGCCAUCCUUAGCUGAUGCUCCAGAGCCCAGGACAGCUACUUAUGCUCCAAUUCAUUGCUGUGGCAGCAGGAAAAAGAAAACUACAAGGAAAGGGAUAUCUCUUCUCUUGAAGGACAGCUCACAGUGAAGGACCCUGAGAGGGCAGAGCCAUGUGAUGGAAUGAGCCAUGAUCCCUGAGUCCUCACCUCAGGGAGAGAUGUGCAGAAGAGCCACCCAAGUGGUGAUGUGCUGGUAAACAUUUAGUGACCCAUUUGAGGUGUGGGGGGAGGCUCUAACUGGUAACAUUUGUUAAUUUCUGUAAUGCAUACUCCUACUAAGGCUGCUUUUAGGCAACCAACGUGAUGUCACUGAACACAGUUUGGAAUGGAUGCACAUAAUCAGUUCUCAUGAUCCAGGAUGAACCAGCCCUAGCAUACCACUGCCCCUAACCCACAUAUAACUGUGUCAUCAUUUAAAAAUAAACAUAUUGGGUUAAGCCUUUGAGAUUU
This 657-nucleotide long non-coding RNA is filed under the name Homo sapiens (human). RNAcentral's name for it is "HSALNT0121676". The record is from RNAcentral. Lineage: Eukaryota; Metazoa; Chordata; Mammalia; Primates; Hominidae.